Molecule: long non-coding RNA, 920 nt
Organism: Galendromus occidentalis (western predatory mite)
Lineage: Eukaryota; Metazoa; Arthropoda; Arachnida; Mesostigmata; Phytoseiidae
Exons: 4
Source: RefSeq, a predicted model, not a curated record
CAUACAACACUUCAUAGACGCUGCUGCCCUCGAGGUAGAGGUGCGGAACUGUCAAGUAUGGCGCGACCGAAAACUAAGAAGAAGCCUGCCGCGGCAGCCGGUCGCAAAUCAGCGGGAAUCCAAAAGUCGCGUAUCAAAAAUGAAACAGAGAAUCGUAUGGCCGAGAACGCGGCGAGCGUCAUCAGGAGCCGCGGAGGGAGGAGUUCCUCGGCCGAUGAAGCCGCGAACACACCGAGUAGUGCCACGAAGGCUCUUGCUCUCGGGGAACGCUCUACGGAAAAUGAGUUGAACGAAGUCCCAAGAGUGGUGGUCGGGGAUGUUCGGGUCCGAAUUGAGCAUUGCAAAUCCUGACGGGUCUACUCGAGGAAUGCUUUGGCACUGCAAAAAUCUCUCAUCGAGGCUUUCCCGGAAAGUCUGACCGAUUCGAGUUUCACCAUAAAUGAGACCAAACCCCGCUCGAAGAGUUUCGAGUUUGUGCUCAUCCAGAACGGCGAGGAAGAAGUCGUGUGGUCUGGUCUCAAACUGGGGCCGCCCAGAGCGCAGAAAUUCCCUGCGUCGGAGAAGCUUGUGGAACUCUUCGCCAAGAAACUGAGCAAGAACUAAACUUCGCAGGGAGACUUUGUGGUCCCGGAAGCUGUUCGCGCUCUCUGAAAUCGCCGUGGAGAUUCUCUGAAGCGAGAUCUCGGAAUGCGAGAAAUGACGAGGCAGAAUCAAAGCUUUCGAGACGUUCUGCCUCUGAUGACGCAAUCAAGAUCUCAAGUCUGCGAUCUUCAAGGCGACUUGGUUUUCAACGCAUUUUAAUUUGUACAAUCCCGUGAAUUCGGUUCUUAUUCCAUACUUCGUAACUCGGAAUGUAAGAUGAGGCAUGUGUUCUGACCCUGAAGGGUAAUGAAAAUAAAAGUCAAUCAGUUUGAAAUUCU